UACGUAGGGUCCGAGCGUUGUCCGGAAUUAUUGGGCGUAAAGGGCUCGUAGGCGGUUUGUCGCGUCGGGAGUGAAAACACACAGCUUAACUGUGUGCUUGCUUCCGAUACGGGCAGACUAGAGGUAUGCAGGGGAGAACGGAAUUCCUGGUGUAGCGGUGAAAUGCGCAGAUAUCAGGAGGAACACCGGUGGCGAAGGCGGUUCUCUGGGCAUUACCUGACGCUGAGGAGCGAAAGUGUGGGGAGCGAACAGG
RNAcentral lists this ribosomal RNA (253 nucleotides) under uncultured bacterium. RNAcentral's name for it is "partial 16S ribosomal RNA". It matches the Rfam family "Bacterial small subunit ribosomal RNA", at positions 524 to 776 of the family's 1533-position model. The record is from RNAcentral.